GUAGGGGUAGGAGUAGUAGUAGCAGUAGCAGUAGCGAGUAGGGUAGCUGCGUAGUUGAUUACCCACUUGAGAGAAAGGCUGAAUAAACCUUUUGAAACUACACCUCUCUGUCGACUCCACUCCGUUUUCCGGGGACGCCCCAAGACUGCAGGUGCAGAUCGCGGUGUCGGGACGAGAGUUAGUGAGGGCCGUGAGGGCCGCGAGUGCUUGAAGUCUCGGAGGUGACCGGGCACACAAAACAACCAUGAGCAUCUCCUUUCAGGCAAUUCUCCCGGGGGCCAUUUCCUAUUCUAGGUAGCCCUGGAUGGGAGAGACAGAAGGUUGAACAUGGAUCCACUAUGUUACUCAGGACCUUCUUUGUCCCAUCUCGGUUUGCCAGUAACCAGUAACCUACAAUCCUUGCUUGCUCGACACAACAGCAGCCAAACCCAGAAGACUAAAGGAAGACUUGACAUAGUCUGGGCAAAUCAGCCCAAUAGGUUCGGAUUGGGCUGCGCCGGAAUGUAAACUUGGUAUUUACUUCUCUCAACUGGGAGGAAGGUAUUCGAUAUUCGCGGCAAGCUUUUCAGUGCCCGAAUAUUUUCUGAUUGUAAGACUUCCUCGCUCCAUCCCCUUAACCCCUUUCCCCAUAAGACCGUGCACACAAAUGGACGCACACAGACAAACAAACACAUUCACAAUAGCACUCACACUCUCACUUAAAAUUCACACACACAUAAUUCUCCCGAUUGGGUUUCCCGCAGUAAUGGAUAACUGGACUCAAACCCUGGAAAGGCAUUUGGUGCUACUAUGUCUAGCCCGUAGACAGAAAGCCUCUUUUCCUGCUGUCCUGGUCCAGGGAAAGCUCCCAGGGACGAAAUGAGGACUCCAAAGUGGGAGCAACUACAGCUGCUGAAGUACCCCACUCACUGCUUGCUUCCUCCCUCGUUCACUCCCUAACCCCAGUCUCCCAGGCUCGCCCUACACCCUUGCCCCCAGCCACUCGGAAAGUUUGGAAACCGGAAAGUCGCUUUCUCUUAGUAGCGAGGGGCCGCAGACUUGCAGUGGAACCUCAGAACUGCUUAGCCGGAAGCCCAAUUCGAUCAACAGAUGAGGAAACUCUGUAUGCACAUAUAUGCAUAUAUCACUGUGUAUGCAUGUAUAUAUGCGUAUAACACACACAUAUAACAUUAGGACGUAUGUAGGCAUGUGUAAGCGUGCACAUGCGUGUGUUUAUGUAUGUUAAUGUAUAUAUGUAUUGUUAACUAUCGUGUGUGCAUGUGUGCCUGAGUGCACCCAUUAGUAUGUGUACAUUAUUUCCCAUAAAACAGUAAAUGGACAAUUCAUAGGUA
Long non-coding RNA from Phascolarctos cinereus (koala), 1331 nucleotides. RefSeq lists it as uncharacterized. The record is from RefSeq and is a predicted model, not a curated record. Lineage: Eukaryota; Metazoa; Chordata; Mammalia; Diprotodontia; Phascolarctidae.